UACUAGAGUAGCACUCGCAUAUCAAUAAGCGGAGGAAAAGAAACUAACAAGGAUUCCCCUAGUAACGGCGAGUGAAGCGGGAAGAGCUCAAAUUUGAAAUCUUAAAGGGUUUCCCUUUACGAAUUGUAGUUUAAAGAAGUGUUUUCUGUUGAGGUUUUGGUAAAAGUUCUUUGGAAUAGGACAUCAUAGAGGGUGAGAAUCCCGUAUUUGACCUUUACUUUCAACUUUGUGAUACACUUUCAAAGAGUCGGAUUGUUUGGGAAUGCAGUCCGAAAUGGGUGGUAAAUUUCAUCUAAAGCUAAAUAUUGGCGAGAGACCGAUAGCGAACAAGUACCGUGAGGGAAAGAUGGAAAGAACUUUGAAAAGAGAGUUAAACAGUACGUGAAAUUGUCAAAAGGGAAGCGUUUGACACCAGUGUUGUUUUUCUGAAAAUCAAUUAAAGAACUGUUUAUGCUAAGCUGUUUAGACUUUAUCAGCUAUACUGUUUAGUUUUGAGCUUUUCUUUAAUGCACUUUUCAGUUAACAAGUCAACAUCAAUUUCUUUUGCUGUAAAAAAGCUUGAGGAAGGUGGCUUGAGAUUCGUCUUAAGUGUUUAUAGCCUCUUGCCUAUGCAGUCGGAGAGAUUGAGGUCUGCAGCGUAGAUCCUUCGGGGCUAAAUGCAUUUGUGCUAAGUUAUAGCAUUUUAUAGACAACUUGUUGACUAUGAUUUGUCUUGUAGCUUACUCGCUUAUGUUAUUUUACCUACGCUUAGGAUGUUGAGCGCAUGUCUCUCUCU
Molecule: ribosomal RNA, 775 nt
Filed under: uncultured Neocallimastigales
Lineage: Eukaryota; Fungi; Neocallimastigomycota; Neocallimastigomycetes; Neocallimastigales
Description: partial large subunit ribosomal RNA
Rfam family: Eukaryotic large subunit ribosomal RNA
Source: RNAcentral